This is a long non-coding RNA of Mercenaria mercenaria, 1592 nucleotides long. RefSeq lists it as uncharacterized. The record is from RefSeq and is a predicted model, not a curated record. Lineage: Eukaryota; Metazoa; Mollusca; Bivalvia; Venerida; Veneridae. The transcript has 4 exons.
AUGGCAUAUAUAAAUACGGCUAGACGCGAAAACGAACUAAAAGGUCCAGCCGAGUUUCAGGUGGAUUUUUUAUGCAGCGACCUGCUUCUACUUUAGCCCUACAAAUGACAAAUUUUGAAUGUGUUUUGCUAAGAACUUCAGCCCUGAUUAGACAACAUUAUCUUUAGAUUCGUUGUUGUCAGGCUUAUCACGAGUUAACUUUUUCCGAUACCGCUUCCUUAGACAAGCCCCACAAAGAACUGUCAUUUCGGAUAUAUUUUUAUUACAUGUUUAGCGAACAACAUGGAUCCUGACUAGUCUGCGCAGAUGCGCAGUCUGGUCUGGAUCCAUGCUGGUCACAGUUGCACUAUGUUGGUUUUCUCAUGGCGCAGCUCAAAUGUUAUCUGUGCCACUGGUACUUAUCCCAAGCAAGAACCAACCCUACGGCCUUGAUAAGAUGACUGCCUUUUUCUUAGUAUUAAUGCUAUACAGCACACAAAUAAUCUGCCCUCACUUAUAACAGAACUAUGCAGACAUGUACAUGUACUUAAGCUACUGACCGCUCACUUAUACAUGUAUACCUAUUCACACAUGUAAUGCAUCAAUAACUACUAGAACAGUGUAUAGAUAAAUCAAGUACAGGUUGUUUGCAAAAAUAUCGUUCUAUAUUUUAUUUAUUUAUAGGAUUUUAAUCUUAAAAUGUUUUUUUUUUCUUAAAUAAAAAAAAAAUUGUCACUUUAUUCGACUGGAAUUCAUAUAUUUAAAACUUCCGUAAAGUGAUGACAUUAUAUUUUUACGGAAAUUAAACAUUUCAGUUUUUUCAAGAAAAUAUACACUGGCCUAGAUAAAAUAAGAAAAACAUCUUGAUAGGAACAGAUACAAACCAGUUUCUGAUGUAAUAAGUUAUGUAACACAUUAGUUUAUCAUUGAUUCGAAACAAUUUGGGUACUGUUUAAAUUCUUAAUGAGAAUUGUGCCUUCAUAAUGUAGGCUAGAAGCAUAUGAUAGUGUCCACAGUCCUUGACAGAAUUAAAUGUAAAUUUCAGCAUAUUUUUCACACAAAUAUGUAUUUGUGCGUAGAAAUGUGAUCAGGCUGAGCACAUGGCCUUAUGGAUUACAUAAUUUUUGGCGCUUAGCGUAAAAACAGUUUAAGGACAGGAUUUACAAAUAUUCAAUUUAUGCUUAAAUGUACAUGCGAUACAUUAUGCAUAUGAAUAUAGUUCACGGUAGUAUCGCAUAUGGAAGUAACUGGAAUAAAUUUGGACUAUUUCCUUCGGAUGUUUACAUGACUGUGCUGUCAAAAGGCCUCCCAUGUGUUUACAUAUUUUGACAGGUCGAGUUGCUCUUGCAGGAACGACGAUAAGAUGAAUACCUGCACCAUGGAAAUAUUGUAGAUCUAAUUUGUAAACUGUCGUGGAACCUGUGUUCGGCUCGCACAUUUCCUAUUCAACAGGAAUGCAUGAUGGAGACCAACAGUACAGAAAGAUGAAGAAGUAAAUUGAUCCAAAUAAACAAUGGGACAAUGAAUGUUGUAAUUACCAAGAAGAAAACUUCACUUUUAUACAGUUGAAGUAUGAUAUUGUGAAUAAAUACCCUCAAUGUAGCCUUAUGGAG